Molecule: long non-coding RNA, 254 nt
Filed under: Phoenix dactylifera (date palm)
Lineage: Eukaryota; Viridiplantae; Streptophyta; Magnoliopsida; Arecales; Arecaceae
Description: long non-coding RNA (PDAC_LNC006277)
Source: RNAcentral
UUUCCGAGGCUUUGCAUUGCAUUGGGAAGUCUCAUCUCUUCAUCUGUGGUCUUGAUUGGCUUUCUGGUUGUGUUAGGAGUCCAAGGGUGAGUCCUUGUCCUGUUGGAAUUUAGUAGUCAGGCAGGUGGGCAUAUCUGUAACUGAUUGUUUCCACCUGCCUUUUGAUUUCACUGUAUCCCAAUAACAGCAGUAAUAAAUUUAGAGUAAUAUUGGGACAUACUAUUUCCCCAAAGGCUUGUAGUCCUAUUUGAGUG